GCUCCAAUAGCGUAUAUUAAAGUUGUUGCAGUUAAAAAGCUCGUAGUUGAAUUUCUGGCCAGCGCUGCUCUCGGCUCUCUGAGUCGGUUCAGUGUUUGGUCAUCCGUAUGGGAAGCUAGCUCGGCCUUCACUGGUCGGCUAGUGGAUCAUACACUUUACUUUGAAAAAAUUAGAGUGUUUCAGGCAGGCAAUUGCUUGGA
RNAcentral lists this ribosomal RNA (200 nucleotides) under uncultured eukaryote. Its description in RNAcentral is "partial 18S ribosomal RNA". It matches the Rfam family "Eukaryotic small subunit ribosomal RNA", at positions 588 to 799 of the family's 1831-position model. The record is from RNAcentral.